Molecule: ribosomal RNA, 2904 nt
Filed under: Klebsiella pneumoniae subsp. pneumoniae MGH 78578
Lineage: Bacteria; Pseudomonadati; Pseudomonadota; Gammaproteobacteria; Enterobacterales; Enterobacteriaceae
Description: bacterial LSU rRNA
Rfam family: Bacterial large subunit ribosomal RNA
Source: RNAcentral
GGUUAAGCGACUAAGCGUACACGGUGGAUGCCCUGGCAGUCAGAGGCGAUGAAGGACGUGCUAAUCUGCGAAAAGCGUCGGUAAGGUGAUAUGAACCGUUAUAGCCGGCGAUGUCCGAAUGGGGAAACCCAGUGCAAUUCGUUGCACUAUCGUUAACUGAAUACAUAGGUUAACGAGGCGAACCGGGGGAACUGAAACAUCUAAGUACCCCGAGGAAAAGAAAUCAACCGAGAUUCCCCCAGUAGCGGCGAGCGAACGGGGAGCAGCCCAGAGUCUGAAUCAGCUUGUGUGUUAGUGGAACGGUCUGGAAAGUCCGACGGUACAGGGUGAUAGUCCCGUACACCAAAAUGCACAGGUUGUGAACUCGAAGAGUAGGGCGGGACACGUGGUAUCCUGUCUGAAUAUGGGGGGACCAUCCUCCAAGGCUAAAUACUCCUGACUGACCGAUAGUGAACCAGUACCGUGAGGGAAAGGCGAAAAGAACCCCGGCGAGGGGAGUGAAAAAGAACCUGAAACCGUGUACGUACAAGCAGUGGGAGCACCUUCGGGUGUGACUGCGUACCUUUUGUAUAAUGGGUCAGCGACUUAUAUUCUGUAGCAAGGUUAACCGUAUAGGGGAGCCGCAGGGAAACCGAGUCUUAACUGGGCGUUAAGUUGCAGGGUAUAGACCCGAAACCCGGUGAUCUAGCCAUGGGCAGGUUGAAGGUUGGGUAACACUAACUGGAGGACCGAACCGACUAAUGUUGAAAAAUUAGCGGAUGACUUGUGGCUGGGGGUGAAAGGCCAAUCAAACCGGGAGAUAGCUGGUUCUCCCCGAAAGCUAUUUAGGUAGCGCCUCGUGAACUCAUCUUCGGGGGUAGAGCACUGUUUCGGCUAGGGGGUCAUCCCGACUUACCAACCCGAUGCAAACUACGAAUACCGAAGAAUGUUAUCACGGGAGACACACGGCGGGUGCUAACGUCCGUCGUGAAGAGGGAAACAACCCAGACCGCCAGCUAAGGUCCCAAAGUCAUGGUUAAGUGGGAAACGAUGUGGGAAGGCACAGACAGCCAGGAUGUUGGCUUAGAAGCAGCCAUCAUUUAAAGAAAGCGUAAUAGCUCACUGGUCGAGUCGGCCUGCGCGGAAGAUGUAACGGGGCUAAACCAUGCACCGAAGCUGCGGCAGCGACACUAUGUGUUGUUGGGUAGGGGAGCGUUCUGUAAGCCUGCGAAGGUGACCUGUGAGGGUUGCUGGAGGUAUCAGAAGUGCGAAUGCUGACAUAAGUAACGAUAAAGCGGGUGAAAAGCCCGCUCGCCGGAAGACCAAGGGUUCCUGUCCAACGUUAAUCGGGGCAGGGUGAGUCGACCCCUAAGGCGAGGCCGAAAGGCGUAGUCGAUGGGAAACAGGUUAAUAUUCCUGUACUUGGUGUUACUGCGAAGGGGGGACGGAGAAGGCUAUGUUAGCCGGGCGACGGUUGUCCCGGUUUAAGCAUGUAGGCUGAUUGUCCAGGCAAAUCCGGAUAAUCAAGGCUGAGGUGUGAUGACGAGGCACUACGGUGCUGAAGUAACAAAUGCCCUGCUUCCAGGAAAAGCCUCUAAGCAUCAGGUAACAUUAAAUCGUACCCCAAACCGACACAGGUGGUCAGGUAGAGAAUACCAAGGCGCUUGAGAGAACUCGGGUGAAGGAACUAGGCAAAAUGGUGCCGUAACUUCGGGAGAAGGCACGCUGGUGUGUAGGUGAAGCCCCUGCGGGUGGAGCUGAGACCAGUCGAAGAUACCAGCUGGCUGCAACUGUUUAUUAAAAACACAGCACUGUGCAAACACGAAAGUGGACGUAUACGGUGUGACGCCUGCCCGGUGCCGGAAGGUUAAUUGAUGGGGUUAUCCGUAAGGAGAAGCUCUUGAUCGAAGCCCCGGUAAACGGCGGCCGUAACUAUAACGGUCCUAAGGUAGCGAAAUUCCUUGUCGGGUAAGUUCCGACCUGCACGAAUGGCGUAAUGAUGGCCAGGCUGUCUCCACCCGAGACUCAGUGAAAUUGAACUCGCUGUGAAGAUGCAGUGUACCCGCGGCAAGACGGAAAGACCCCGUGAACCUUUACUAUAGCUUGACACUGAACAUUGAGCCUUGAUGUGUAGGAUAGGUGGGAGGCUUUGAAGCGUGGACGCCAGUCUGCGUGGAGCCAACCUUGAAAUACCACCCUUUAAUGUUUGAUGUUCUAACGUUGGCCCCUGACCGGGGUUGCGGACAGUGUCUGGUGGGUAGUUUGACUGGGGCGGUCUCCUCCCAAAGCGUAACGGAGGAGCACGAAGGUUAGCUAAUCCUGGUCGGACAUCAGGAGGUUAGUGCAAUGGCAUAAGCUAGCUUGACUGCGAGCGUGACGGCGCGAGCAGGUGCGAAAGCAGGUCAUAGUGAUCCGGUGGUUCUGAAUGGAAGGGCCAUCGCUCAACGGAUAAAAGGUACUCCGGGGAUAACAGGCUGAUACCGCCCAAGAGUUCAUAUCGACGGCGGUGUUUGGCACCUCGAUGUCGGCUCAUCACAUCCUGGGGCUGAAGUAGGUCCCAAGGGUAUGGCUGUUCGCCAUUUAAAGUGGUACGCGAGCUGGGUUUAGAACGUCGUGAGACAGUUCGGUCCCUAUCUGCCGUGGGCGCUGGAGAAUAGAGGGGGGCUGCUCCUAGUACGAGAGGACCGGAGUGGACGCAUCACUGGUGUUCGGGUUGUCAUGCCAAUGGCACUGCCCGGUAGCUAAAUGCGGAAGAGAUAAGUGCUGAAAGCAUCUAAGCACGAAACUUGCCCCGAGAUGAGUUCUCCCUGAGACUAUAAGUCUCCUGAAGGAACGUUAAAGACGAUGACGUUGAUAGGCCGGGUGUGUAAGCGCAGCGAUGCGUUGAGCUAACCGGUACUAAUGAACCGUGAGGCUUAACCUUAC